Molecule: long non-coding RNA, 2501 nt
Organism: Perognathus longimembris pacificus (Pacific pocket mouse)
Lineage: Eukaryota; Metazoa; Chordata; Mammalia; Rodentia; Heteromyidae
Exons: 2
Source: RefSeq, a predicted model, not a curated record
CCCCAAAUAACAAUGUGAACCCGUUUCAGGUAUAAAUAUUAGUCUCAAUCACAGACAUUCAAAAAUGAAUAUACAUAUAGCACAUUGAACACUCAAUAGGAAUGGUAAAUGCGAUUCAGUGUAGUAACCAGAUUCAGUGUUUGUUUUUUUAUGAGACACAAUUCAUAUACCAUAAAAUUGCUCCUUUUAAAACAUAUAGUGCAGUAGAUUCACAAUUUCAUGAAUCCCUGUUUGUUUAUUUUGUUUUUUUGCCAGCCCUGGUACUUGAACUCAGGGCCUGAGCUCCGUCCUUGGCUUCUUUUUGUUCAAGGCUAGCACUCUACCACUUGAGCCACAGUGCCACUUCUGGCCUUUUCUGUUUAUGUGGUGCUGAGGAAUUGAACCCAGGGCUUCAUGCAUGAUAGGCAAGCACUCUACCACUAAGCCACAUUCCUAGCCCUAUGAAUCCCUGUUUUUAAACCUUUUGUCAGCUGUCAGUCUGCCUACCUCGAAAAGCCUCUUCCCAACCAGACUACUCUUCUGCCUCAACAAUCUAACUUCUAAAUUUAAGACAAAAAAAAAAAAAAAAACCAUGCUGGGGGCAUAGCUCAAAUGGUAUAGUGCCUACUACAAAGCACAAAGCCAUGAGUUCAAACCCUAAUGGGGGAUAGGGGGUUAAAGGCUGGGAAACCAAAUGAACAAAUACAUACUUCUAUACACAUGUGCUUAGGGAGACAACAAAACAGACAACAGAAAAAAGAUUUCAAUAAAAUCUGGUCCCUGGCUGAGACUCACAAAGCAAUCCUAACUGUUUACACUCGUCACCAAAAGUGGCCCACAUCUAAGGCCGAAGAGACACUGACACACCUUGAAGUAUAGCUGGGAAUCUGAAUAGCACAGGACCAGUUUAGAGCAGCUGACUUUCUAAACUCAAAUUUCUACCCACUCACUGGUUUCCUUGGAUUGGGAUCCCUGACCCAGGAGUUACAAAUUCCAGUUAGGUGAACAAAUAUCCCCUUAAAUAUGCAAAUACAUGGGUCAAAGAGAUGCUGGCUUUCAUUCACACACUUCCGUGGAUUAUCACGUGAAUCAUAUUUAAGACUCAGAGAAAAGUAUGCCACAAGAGAAGCAUAUACCUGUGGAGUGUAGAGACCUAGGAAGCACAGAAAAACCUGGGGGUUACAGCAGCCACACUGCAGCUCCAGUGGCCAAGCCAGCAUUUACUAAUCUAAGAUUUACUCCAACUCUUCAUCCCACUUUCCAGAUUAAGAAAUAGAAGGCAGAGGUCAGCGACCUAUCUUAAGCAAGAAUAAAGAAGAACAAACAGGGCAGCCAAGAGGGUACCUCUUUGUUACCUGAGAAGGUGGGUGAGAGUUUCUUGAAAUGGUUGUGCUGGCAGGCCCAAGUCCCUUAGCACCAACUCCCUCGGAAAAGACUAGCUGCAUGCAUUCACCCUAGGAUAGAAGAAGCUAAUGCUACAUCAGAAGCACUGCAAACAAAACACAAAGGAAAAGGUUUUCUUUUAGACAAAUUAAGUUGCAAGAGUGCUACCUACUUUUUGAAGCAUUUCCAUUUAAUUCCUUACUAGCAUUUGGCAAGGAAAAAACUCAAAUAUUUUGUAUUUACUGAUGGAUUUCCUCCACUUGCUGCAGAAGGGAAGAGUGGAUCCAAGCAAUGAAUAGUUAAGGCUUUAUAAGACUUGCUUCAGCCUCUCCUGGAUUUCAAUCCAUUUGCCUGAGACCAGAAUUGGGCUCUUAUAAGGAACUGCCUCAGCCCUGGAUGUUCCUCCAGAAUGUAGGCUGAUAAGGCAAGAAAUCCUCAAAACAUCUAGUGUACAUGGUAACAUUUUACUGAACAUUUACUUUACACACGUUCAGAAAAUAGAGGUAGAUACAUACUGAGCAUUCUAUCAAAAUGUACAGGUGACUGUUAAUACAUACUGAGCAUUCUAUUAAAAUUUACAGACAGGUAAGACUGAAGCUCAAAGAAAUGAAGUCAUCUGCCCAAGGCCACACUAGCCAAAAUAGUAACCAACUCCAAGUCUGUGUUUCUAAAUCCUUAUUAUUCUGUGUCUUUUGUCCAAAGAAAAAUCAAGAAACAUCCACCUUUCAUGACAAAUCUUUUCAUUUUGUGUGUUUUUGUUUGUUGGUUUGUUUGUUUUUGUUACUUUCAGUUCAUUGCUCAUAACCAAGUUUUAAAUCUAUGCUAGCCACCAACUGAACUCAAGGCCUUUGGGCUUGCUAGGCAGGAACUCCAUAUGAGCCACAUGUUCCCACAAUAAGCCUUCUUAAUCAACAUUUGAUGGUUGAAUUCAUUACACAGAAGAUUAUUUCACAGAGCUGGUUUAACAACUCAGUUCCAAUCCACUCUCAAAAAUAUACCAGGCAAAAACAUACCUCUAGCGUCAAAGGUCUAACUCCAACAUUGUGUCCUUCAUCCUAGUCCUGGGAAGCACAGCACUGACCCACUAAAUUUAUAUUCCCCUUUAUUCUGGGUAUUUUAUACAAAAGUACAUGUUCUUU